UACAGAGGGGGCAAGCGUUAUUCGGAAUUAUUGGGCGUAAAGGGCGCGUAGGCGGCCAUUCAAGUGACGGGUGAAAGCCCUCGGCUUAACCGGGGAACUGCGUCUGAUACUGGAUGGCUUGAGUUUGGGAGAGGGAUGCGGAAUUCCAGGUGUAGCGGUGAAAUGCGUAGAUAUCUGGAGGAACACCGGUGGCGAAGGCGGCAUCCUGGACCAAUACUGACACUGAGGAGCGAAAGCCAGGGGAGCAAACGGG
This 253-nucleotide ribosomal RNA is filed under the name uncultured bacterium. Its description in RNAcentral is "partial 16S ribosomal RNA". It matches the Rfam family "Bacterial small subunit ribosomal RNA", at positions 524 to 776 of the family's 1533-position model. The record is from RNAcentral.